Molecule: ribosomal RNA, 399 nt
Filed under: uncultured eukaryote
Lineage: Eukaryota
Description: partial 18S ribosomal RNA
Rfam family: Eukaryotic small subunit ribosomal RNA
Source: RNAcentral
CAAUAGCGUAUAUUAAAGUUGUUGCAGUUAAAAAGCUCGUAGUUGGACAUCGGGCGCGUGCGCAUGGUCCGCCGAAAGGUGUGCACCGUGUGGAGCAAUCUCGCAAGGCGCGCGUCCUCUUUCCGUAGACCGCGUGUGCCCUUAGUUGUGGUGUGCGUAUUAUGGGAUGCGGAUCGUUUACUUUGAAUAAAUUAGAGUGUUCAAAGCAGGCUUUCGCUUGGAUACAUUAGCAUGGAAUAAUGGAAUAGGACUUUGGUUCUAUUUUGUUGGUUUCUAGGACCGAAGUAAUGAUUAAUAGGGAUAGUUGGGGGCAUUAAUAUUUAAUUGUCAGAGGUGAAAUUCUUGGAUUUAUGAAAGAUUAACUUCUGCGAAAGCAUUUGCCAAGGAUGUUUNCAUUAA